UUGAAUUUUUUUGUGUAUUACAAUCCGAGGUGGCAAUAUGGGUCCACUUGGCAAACUACCACCUAAUCUUUUUUUGAGAAAAACUGCCACCUAAUCAAGUGGGUGCCAUGGUUCAUCUAGUUGUUUUUCUGUUUGUUUUUCCUAUAUGUAUUAAGCCCAGUUUUUUUAGAAGAACUUCAGCCUAGCUGUACGCUGGCCCAAUUUAGAACCAGCCCGCCCAAUUCGAAAUAAGUCAGAAAAAGAAAAAAAGGCCCAAUUUAGAACCAGCCCGCCCAAUUCGAAAUAAGUCAGAAAAAGAAAAAAAUAGUGUGAGGGUUUGAACCUAGGACGCCAGCAGUUUGAGUUGUGUCCUUGCCAACUGAGCUACAAUGUUGUUUUGGUUUAAUGUGGUAGUUUUUACUAAUUUAUUCUUAUAUUUGUAUAAUUUCCAAGGAACAAAAUCGCCAAUGGUGGAAUAGAACAUGUCUGAGUGGUGCCCAAGGUUAGCAGUUGCGCCACUCUUUAUUUUGAAAUCAUUCUGGUUCUUAAAUUUCAGUUCAAACUUGUCCUUUUUCAAAAUUUCAAAUUUCAAAUAUUUGAAUUUUAUCAAAUGAAGAAAUGGUCAAAAUAAAAUUUGU
This 617-nucleotide long non-coding RNA is filed under the name Sorghum bicolor (sorghum). Its description in RNAcentral is "long non-coding RNA (SBIC_LNC007867)". Lineage: Eukaryota; Viridiplantae; Streptophyta; Magnoliopsida; Poales; Poaceae. The record is from RNAcentral.